GGCCCCAUCGUCUAGCGGUUAGGACACCAGCCUCUCACGUUGGGAACACGGGUUCAAUUCCCGUUGGGGUCG
This 72-nucleotide transfer RNA is filed under the name Polyangiaceae bacterium. RNAcentral's name for it is "tRNA-Glu". It matches the Rfam family "tRNA". From Rfam's summary of the family: Transfer RNA (tRNA) molecules are approximately 80 nucleotides in length. Lineage: Bacteria; Pseudomonadati; Myxococcota; Polyangiales; Polyangiaceae. The record is from RNAcentral.